AUUGAACGCUGGCGGCAUGCCUUACACAUGCAAGUCGAACGGCAGCAUGAUCUAGCUUGCUAGAUUGAUGGCGAGUGGCGAACGGGUGAGUAAUACAUCGGAACGUGCCCUGUAGUGGGGGAUAACUAGUCGAAAGAUUAGCUAAUGCCGCAUACGACCUGAGGGUGAAAGUGGGGGACCGCAAGGCCUCAUGCUAUAGGAGCGGCCGAUGUCUGAUUAGCUAGUUGGUGAGGUAAAGGCUCACCAAGGCGACGAUCAGUAGCUGGUCUGAGAGGACGAUCAGCCACACUGGGACUGAGACACGGCCCAGACUCCUACGGGAGGCAGCAGUGGGGAAUUUUGGACAAUGGGCGAAAGCCUGAUCCAGCAAUGCCGCGUGUGUGAAGAAGGCCUUCGGGUUGUAAAGCACUUUUGUCCGGAAAGAAAUGGCUCUGGUUAAUACCUGGGGUCGAUGACGGUACCGGAAGAAUAAGGACCGGCUAACUACGUG
RNAcentral lists this ribosomal RNA (490 nucleotides) under uncultured bacterium. RNAcentral describes it as "partial 16S ribosomal RNA". It matches the Rfam family "Bacterial small subunit ribosomal RNA", at positions 30 to 507 of the family's 1533-position model. The record is from RNAcentral.